UGGCGGCGGCCCAACCAUGCAAGUCGAGCGGUAACAGAUCUAGCUUGCUAGAUGCUGACGAGCGGCGGACGGGUGAGUAAUGCAUAGGAAUCUGCCCGGUAGUGGGGGAUAACCUGGGGAAACCCAGGCUAAUACCGCAUACGUCCUACGGGAGAAAGGGGGCUCCGGCUCCCGCUAUUGGAUGAGCCUAUGUCGGAUUAGCUAGUUGGUGAGGUAAAGGCUCACCAAGGCAACGAUCCGUAGCUGGUCUGAGAGGAUGAUCAGCCACAUCGGGACUGAGACACGGCCCGAACUCCUACGGGAGGCAGCAGUGGGGAAUAUUGGACAAUGGGGGCAACCCUGAUCCAGCCAUGCCGCGUGUGUGAAGAAGGCCCUCGGGUUGUAAAGCACUUUCAGCGAGGAAGAACGCCUAGUGGUUAAUACCCAUUAGGAAAGACAUCACUCGCAGAAGAAGCACCGGCUAACUCCGUGCCAGCAGCCGCGGUAAUACGGAGGGUGCAAGCGUUAAUCGGAAUUACUGGGCGUAAAGCGCGCGUAGGUGGCUUGAUAAGCCGGUUGUGAAAGCCCCGGGCUCAACCUGGGAACGGCAUCCGGAACUGUCAGGCUAGAGUGCAGGAGAGGAAGGUAGAAUUCCCGGUGUAGCGGUGAAAUGCGUAGAGAUCGGGAGGAAUACCAGUGGCGAAGGCGGCCUUCUGGACUGACACUGACACUGAGGUGCGAAAGCGUGGGUAGCAAACAGGAUUAGAUACCCUGGUAGUCCACGCCGUAAACGAUGUCGACCAGCCGUUGGGUGCCUAGAGCACUUUGUGGCGAAGUUAACGCGAUAAGUCGACCGCCUGGGGAGUACGGCCGCAAGGUUAAAACUCAAUGAAUUGACGGGGGCCCGCACAAGCGGUGGAGCAUGUGGUUUAAUUCGAUGCAACGCGAAGACCCUUACCUACCCUUGACAUCU
Molecule: ribosomal RNA, 952 nt
Filed under: Halomonas sp. 2052
Lineage: Bacteria; Pseudomonadati; Pseudomonadota; Gammaproteobacteria; Oceanospirillales; Halomonadaceae
Description: bacterial SSU rRNA
Rfam family: Bacterial small subunit ribosomal RNA
Source: RNAcentral